AAACUUCGAAACACAAAAAAAAAAAAAAAAAAAAAAAAAAGCGAACGAAACACAAAUGUGAUCCACUCUCGAUCAGCGCUACAUGCACUCACAAGAUUCUCUCUC
Molecule: non-coding RNA, 105 nt
Filed under: Lotharella globosa
Lineage: Eukaryota; Cercozoa; Chlorarachniophyceae
Source: RNAcentral